UUCUUCACUGGCUGGAUGAACUAAAAGGGGGGGAAACAAAAUUCCUCAUCAUUGAAUGCAACUAGAUUGUAUUUUUUUUUCCUACUGGCUGCUCCAUGUGACUUACAAAACUGCAUAGAGUGAUGGAAGAGCAUACAUUCCCAUAGACAAGCUGGAUCGAUAGCUUAUCAAAUGGGUCCUCGGAGAGUACAUUGUGUCUGGGAUUCCGUUAGUCAAAGAAAAAAGCGCGAACAGGUUGAAGCUGUUCAUUUAAAUGCAGAGGUACAUGGUCCAUUGGGGAAUACUGGCAGACUGAAUGACAUGACACUAACGAGCGGCUCCUGAUUCCUGAGUUCAUGUGCAUGGCAGACACAUCAGAGUCUUCCAUCAAAGAGGAUUCUGUGCCAAGCCAACGCCCCAUCCAGUUCCUUCUUAGCAAGAGACAACAAGGCCAACUCCCUGUCCUGUGCAGAGGUUUAGG
Long non-coding RNA from Nanorana parkeri, 460 nucleotides. RefSeq lists it as uncharacterized. The transcript has 4 exons. The record is from RefSeq and is a predicted model, not a curated record. Lineage: Eukaryota; Metazoa; Chordata; Amphibia; Anura; Dicroglossidae.